GCAGGAUCGACUAUGUCGAAUAAAAUUCUAGGUAGAAUUUUGAUAAUGACAUUGUCUGCCUAUGUGUCUUGACCAAAUUACGUGCCAGCAGUCGCGGUAAUACGUAGAAGACUAGUGUUAUUCAUGUUUAAUCGGUUUAAAGGGUACCUAGACGGUAAAUCAAGCCUAAAAUUAAAUGAAGGGACUAAUUUACUAGAGUUACUUAUGAGGGGGUAUUAAAGUACUGCUGGUGUAGAGAUGAAAUUCUGUCAUACCUCUUUUCUAUAGAAAAAUAAUGGCACAGGUAUAGGCGAAAGCAUCCCCUUAUGUGAUAACUGACGUUGAGGGACGAAGGCUUUGUGUAGCGAACAGGAUUAGAUACCCCAGUAGUCAAAGCAGAAAAUGAUGAAUGUCAUAGAUUAGAUAAAUAAGUUUAUUCUAUAAAUGAAAGUGUAAGCAUUCCACCUCAAGAGUAAUUUGGCAACAUUGGAACUGAAAUCAUUAGACCGUUUCUGAAACCAGUAGUGAAGUAUGUUGUUUAAUUUGAUGAUCCGCAAAAAACCUUACCACAAUUUGAAUAUUUAUAUCUUUUAUUGUUUUUUUUUAUUUUCUUCUGAUUUUAAAAAGAGGCGAUAUGAUAUAUUUACAAGCGUUGCACGGCUGUCUUCAGUUAAUGUCGCGAGACUUUGGUUAGU
Molecule: ribosomal RNA, 674 nt
Filed under: Hypogymnia tubulosa
Lineage: Eukaryota; Fungi; Ascomycota; Lecanoromycetes; Lecanorales; Parmeliaceae
Description: mitochondrial SSU rRNA
Rfam family: Bacterial small subunit ribosomal RNA
Source: RNAcentral